Long non-coding RNA from Trichoplusia ni (cabbage looper), 1021 nucleotides. RefSeq lists it as uncharacterized. The record is from RefSeq and is a predicted model, not a curated record. NCBI's taxonomy places the organism in Eukaryota, Metazoa, Arthropoda, Insecta, Lepidoptera, Noctuidae. The transcript has 2 exons.
AUAAAGAGAUAUUAUUAUAAAUUAAAUGAAUGAUUGAUGCUGUCUGUUCACCAGGUUAUAAUAGUAAAAGGGAGUCGAACGAAUUGGAGGAAAACUACAGUCUCUCAAUUUGUUUAUCGCCCGGUAUUAGCAAGUAACUACAAAAGUGACAACCCUAUGGAUCUCCACUGCAGCUACGCGGAAAUGAACUCAUUCUUUGGACUCGCUGACUGACGGGCGAACUGACGGGCCCGUCAUUAUGCGGAGCGACCACUGUAUCCGGACCUGCAGUGCCCCUCGCUGCAUACAGAAAAUUGUGGCCCCGGGCAGAUUCAACGUGCAGUCAAAGGUCAACUUGCACUGGUACAGUUGUAUGUUUUGGAAAUUUUGUAGUUGACGAGGUAUGCGGUAAAUGUUAUUACGCAGGUAAUUAUUAAUUAUAUUGGUUCAUGUAAUGUUAACUUUGGUUCAUUGUAAAUUUACGCUUAAUAAUACGAAUGCGUUCAGGUUUUGUUCAUAAAGUCGAUAAGAUUUUAAUAAUUUUAAUGUGCACUGAACAUAAUGAAAAUAAAAGGUUAUGGUUGAAGUACAAAGUAACAUUACAAUGUUUGAGUCAACACUAUAUUAAACAGAAUGUUAUGAGAAUCACUACCACAAAAGGGGAAGAACAAUGAGCAUCUUCAAAAACCAAUACGAAGAAGUAAAUAUAAACUCAUACGGAGCAUACAGGUUUUGAUGGUAAUUCAAAUAUUCUAUUGUAUUCGAAUCAUAUCGCAUACAUCGGUACGCAGGGCUUGUAAACAUUUUUUCACGUCCACUCUAGGUGUAUUGAGGUGGCAAAAAGUGUAAAAAAUCUCGCAUGUAGGUAUGAAGACGCUGGCUUCAACAAAACCAACACGGGGCGGCCACAAAUUGGCGGUUCAGCGAGACGGGCACGUCGUGACCGAGCCGCCGCGCCGCCGCGCCGCGGGCGCAUCGCCGGCUGCGGACACGCCACGAGCGGAGCGGGCAGCGGACAGCUUGCAUCUGUGGAAUAAGGUGA